GAUCCAAGCCAUCCUGGGACUCCAAUCCUAAAUGUCGAACCUUAUGGAGGCCAAAAGUCCCAAUCGUUCAUGAUUCGGAGUUCUUGUUUUUUCGUUUAACCAAAAAGAUUGUGAUAACUUUGUUGACGUGGCACUAUGUCAUUCAUCACUUUUGUAAUUUUUUUAUAAUAUGAAGUGAAAAUACAUUCUUGUUUUUAGAAUGUGUUAUUCUGGAACAGUGAUUUUAUAUUAACUUCAAAGGGCAGUAUUCUUAAAAGCGAAGUUGUCGUAUUAUAUAGGAUUCAUGGAGUGGUAUAUUCUUUUAGUUUUCUUACAUAUUGCUACUGUGACCAACUCGCACACCUCUUCAAUGUGUAUCUUUUCAAAUAUUACGACUUUGAGAUUAGGGUUGUAAACAAUGUGUUUUUUUAAUUGUUAAUUUAUGACUAAAGAAGCAAAUGUUUUUGAAAAGAUAGUCGCCUAAAAUUGUUUUUUUUUUAUUAAAGCAACGAAUUUAGUACAUACUCUGAUUUAUUUCUAUUUUUUUUACAAAAUGUAUAUUAUAAGAAUUUGAAAAAACUAUGCAUAAAUAUAUAUAUAUAUAUAUAUUUCUUAAAGUUCCUUGAAAGUAUUUUUUAAAGCCCAAACAAGGUCAUCUUUGAAGGAAAUAAUUAGUAGGAUCACACCCCUACAUCCAAUUAUCUUCUAAAAAUACCAAGCAGAAUCAAAAUAUUAAAAUAAGUUAAAAAUUUAUCUUCACAACAAAUCAUGAAGAUUCAUAGCAAUUCAGGUGAAAAAAAGAAGAAUGUGAAAGAAGAUGCAAAGAAAAAUGAUGUUCGGAGUGUUGUGGGUAAACCUAGUGAUUCUAAAACUCCCAAAAACUCAUUGACCGCAGCUGAAUUAAAAAAAAAGGAAAAUGCUGAAAUUCUAUUGAAAUUGUCCAUGAACCUGUGGAGAAGAAUAAACGCUGGAUAUAUAAUUCUUAGAAACCCAGGGAAUAGUCACUACAUCGACUCAUUCCAAUGGCUCGUAGAAUUGAUGGAGCCAGCAAACAGAGCGUUCGCGCACAAAAGAGACAAGUACGUGGAGUUUGGAGAAGCUCUGGCGAGAGCCAAGGUAGCGUGGCCGAAGCCGCCGAGGCCUCCGCCGGUGUUCG
Physcomitrium patens is the source of this 1135-nucleotide non-coding RNA. NCBI's taxonomy places the organism in Eukaryota, Viridiplantae, Streptophyta, Bryopsida, Funariales, Funariaceae. The record is from RefSeq and is a predicted model, not a curated record.